Molecule: ribosomal RNA, 479 nt
Filed under: uncultured bacterium
Lineage: Bacteria
Description: bacterial SSU rRNA
Rfam family: Bacterial small subunit ribosomal RNA
Source: RNAcentral
UUUCGCAAUGCCCGAAAGGGUGACGAAGCGACGCCGCGUGGGCGAAGAAGGCCCUAGGGUUGUAAAGCUCUGUCAGGGGUUAUGAAAUGUAGACUAGCUAAUACCUGGUUUAUUUGACAAAGGCCCCAAAGGAAGCCACGGCUAACUCUGUGCCAGCAGCCGCGGUAAUACAGAGGUGGCAAGCGUUGUUCGGUAUUAUUGGGCGUAAAGAGCACGUAGGUGGUUUUGUAAGUCAGAUGUGAAAGCCUUCUGUUCAAAGGAAGAACGGCAUCUGAAACUGCAGAUCUUGAGUAUAGGAGGGGAGAGUGGAACUUCUGGUGGAGCGGUGAAAUGCGUAGAUAUCAGAAGGAACGUCGGCGGCGAAAGCGACUCUCUGGCCUAUUACUGACACUGAGUGUGCGAAAGUUAGGGGAGCAAACGGGAUUAGAUACCCCGGUAGUCCUAACCGUAAACGAUGGGCACUAAGUAGAGGGGUUUUA